Molecule: non-coding RNA, 269 nt
Filed under: marine eukaryotic metagenome
Source: RNAcentral
UUGCACAGAGCCUUUACCAAAGCUCUUAGUCCCCAUCAAUACAGCGCGUUUGUUAUCUUGCAAUGCGCCACUGACAAUUUCAGAUGCCGAUGCAGAACCGUUAUUGAUUAAUACAACCAACGAGGUGCCACCCAAUAUAUCCCCUGGUUUUGCUUUAAAAUUCAUGUUUUUUCCAACGCGCGAUUUGGUACUUACAAUUCCACCUUUAUCUAGGAACAUAUCACUAAUUUCCACAGCUUGAUCCAAUAAACCACCUGGGUUAUUACGCA